CACGUAAACGGAGGUGGGCCGACACGCCACCUGCGUCAACUCGCGGGAGCGCGUGGUGGCGUCGGGGGACGUGUGGUGGACAAGCUGCCUUGCGGAGACUCGAGACUGGGGUACCGCCUCCGCAGCCCGCUGCCCUCGUACCUUCUGUCCUAGUCGCGGGAGGGCCUGCUAGAGGAGUAGGUAUAAGAGAGGGUGGACGCGAGUGCGCUUCGACACGUCUGUACGCACGACCGUGCCGCGACCGCUAUGGAGACCGCCAGCCACUGGACGUAGCUGCACAGAAAGCUCCUUAAACUCCUGUCCCGACGACGUUUGCUGAACCUCGCACUCCUCUACAAGUUCUACAAACACUUGGUAAACGACUAAGAGGCACUUGCGCAUCUGGACUUCCUCAAGGUAGACCUCAUGUCGAACCACCAGCCCCAGUCGGCCGAGUCACGAUUCAGACUACUUCGGUUGGAUACCUAGGCGGUACGCAAUGUCAUGUUCCGAGUCUGACAGUUCUAACAGUUAGUUUCGCUUGAAGAUGUCGAAGAAGGGAGCCAUAAGUGAAGUUGCAUGAACUUUUCUGACGUGUAAUGGUUACGAGUUGACUAGGCUCCAAAGAAACUGGCGGAGGCCUUUCCGACGGGUCGUAACCUUAUAGAGAAGGAUAGCUGGACGCUGUAACUCCUGGAACUGUAAAAGAGGCUGUGUGAGUUCCAAAACUAGGAGAGACUACGAUAGCCCAAGAGUAAGAGUAAACUCGUGCUACGGGUUCAGAGAUAAAGACGAGGUUCGGAGUAAAGAGACAGGCAGCUUCUCACAGGAAGGCCCCGGUCCGAUGGAUAUGAUUUCUUGUACAGUAGUGAUCUCUGACGUAGUCAUAACGAAAGUCUUCCUCUAUAGUGUUGAACACUACGACUACCAUAGUCCGUCAAAGAGCCCCCGGAGAGACCACAAUCUUCAAACCUAAAGAUAAUACCCCUAUCUGUCGACCUCCACUUUUUAUUAGUGCCUACCACGGGUUGUAAGUUGUUAGAAUGUUUGGACUGGGAACUAUCCACCACGUACGUACGCCUGAAUAUACGGUACUAUCAGAAGGAAGUCUUGAGUGGAUUAGACUUCUUCGAUUGAGAAUUUGAUUUGCUCGGUGCUAUAGUGUUGCUCCAACAUAGACGUCAGUAGCCGCUCGACCUCCUAUCUAGCAAAUGUACACUUGUCGAACUCUAACAGCUUUAGUAUACGAGCUUCCCUUUACUCGACGACGAUGAACCCAACUUAGUCAAAAACCAUCUUCUCUCACCGUAUUCCGGACUAGUCUACGCACAGUCAGUGGUCUUGAUUCCGGCUACACUCAGUAGGCUAACAAAGUUCAGGGUGAUGUCCACUUUAAUGUACCUUAGUGAGUAACCGUAUAGUGUACCGUCCGUUUGUAACGAAGGGGAACCUAGAUAUAAGCGAGCGAGACCAAAUCAACCUUACUUGUAUCGUACACACAAACGACGGGAACAGAAAAGUGUGUCAUCUUAGGGUAUCACAACCAAAACUUGAUACAAGACGCCGGCCGCUUGGUUUUCUUUGUGUGGCGAUAGAAGGGUACGCUACGGUAUUAAGCACACCCCCUUCUAAUGUGACGUAAACUGUAUGUACGUGUACCGAGUUUUAGCGGUCACUGUGAAAAAAGUACCUACACACUACAAUAACUAGACUCAACGUACCGACUACUGACGUCUUUUGAACUACAACGGAAAAGACGACAAAGACUUUCUUUUACGAACACAACACGAGCACCACAACCGCCUCGAUCGUUUUCUGAGAAGAUUAGACAGGAACUUGCACAGAC
Molecule: ribosomal RNA, 1825 nt
Filed under: Triticum aestivum (bread wheat)
Lineage: Eukaryota; Viridiplantae; Streptophyta; Magnoliopsida; Poales; Poaceae
Description: partial small subunit ribosomal RNA
Source: RNAcentral